Molecule: non-coding RNA, 1191 nt
Organism: Epinephelus lanceolatus (giant grouper)
Lineage: Eukaryota; Metazoa; Chordata; Actinopteri; Perciformes; Serranidae
Source: RefSeq, a predicted model, not a curated record
UCAGGACUCCAGCUGGUUUCAGGAUAUCUAUACUGCAGUGUUGUCUCUGGACACCCUCACACACUAGAAUGUUUUCUCUCCUGUUCUUUGCUGUGCUCUGCGCCAGCUGCCUGUCUGCUCCCAGUGAGCACUACUCCUUCUCCCCUCCUGUUGGACCCGGGAGUGGCACUUCCUUCUCCACAGCAGGAGACGGAGGGAUCAGGGGGGUUAGGGUCUGGGAGUCGAUCAACUCUUACAUCACAGGUCUCCAGGUGCGCAAUGGCUUCUCCUGGUCCAACGUUUUUGGUCGCACACUUGGAGAUGCACAGGAGCUGGAACUAUAUGAUGAUGAGUACAUUAUUCAGAUCUCUGGCAAAUACAACACCGCCUAUAUCUAUCAGCUGAUCUUUGUGACCAGUACAGGGAGAUCUCUGAUAGUUGGCCAGCCCACACAUACCUCUUUCAACUUCUACCCGAUCCACUAUGGUUGCGAGCUAAAAAUACUGAGUGGUCGCUAUACCACCUCAGGGAUCAAGUCUUUGGGAGCUCACUGGGGAAGUCGGAUGAUAUCGACCAACACUUCAGUCCACGACUACUGACUACUAACAACAGUCUUAAGCAGAGAAUAAUCAACCUAUCUUUUUCCAUUAAGAAAGUAUUUAGUCUGAAGGAGAGAUUGCAGUGAUUUAUUGCACUUUAUCAAUACCUCAUGUAUUUUGAGGAAUGCUAAUUGUAAGGAUAUUAAGAGAUUAUAUAUGUGGUUUUAUUUCUGCAUAUUCAAAUGGUUGGAGAAAUGUUCAGUCUGACCAGUAUUUAAUUCUGUUGCACGCAAUAUGCUGUUGUAUUUUAUGAAAGGUAUGAUUUUUUUUUCCUUUUGUGACUUUGUGGCUGUUAUGCAAAAUUAAUAAAACAACUAAAUCAAAGCAACUUGAUUUUAUGUAAUGAUAAUGAAGAACAACUUUUGUGCAGUAUCGUCCACAACUUCCUGCUUUUUCAUGUGUGUGACACUGCAGUAACCUCAAACAUACAAUGGCAAACAUAGGAAAAUUUUAUUUUUUGUCAUUGCACAAUUUAACUCAGAUUCCACUGUUUUGAGAGCGCCUUGUCUUAAUGAGCUCAUAUUUUGUUUAGUUACAGAGUCCAUAAAAAUGCGUUGAGAGCAAAAGUUUUUCCCUCUGCCUCAGUGUCUUCCUGCUAAACAUAAGUCACGCA